UGCAACAAAGAGGGGAGAGCUGCAGGAAGAGAUCUCACUCUGCUUCAAAUUCUGCAUUUUUUUUGCAUUCGACCCACUGCAGCUUUAAAUGGGAAGCACCGCUAA
Long non-coding RNA from Etheostoma spectabile (orangethroat darter), 105 nucleotides. RefSeq lists it as uncharacterized. The transcript is spliced from 3 exons. The record is from RefSeq and is a predicted model, not a curated record. Lineage: Eukaryota; Metazoa; Chordata; Actinopteri; Perciformes; Percidae.